Molecule: long non-coding RNA, 690 nt
Filed under: Homo sapiens (human)
Lineage: Eukaryota; Metazoa; Chordata; Mammalia; Primates; Hominidae
Description: HSALNT0018046
Source: RNAcentral
CAGGUCCUGCUGCCAGGGGGGCUUUCUGAAAGAUGAUGGUGUAGCAACUCAAGUGCUGGGUUAAAAGAGCCUGUAGGGGUGAGUCAGGGAUUGGCAGGAAUUGAGCUUCCCACAUCGCUGGCUUCUGCAGCAACUGUGUGCCUAGCAGUGGCUGUCCUUGCCUGUCUUUUAGCUCAGGGGCAGUCACCAAUAUCAGGCCACCUUACUCCUGGUUGUAUUUGCAAUAAAUCUUUUAUUUUCCCCUCCUGUAGCUGUGGCCAGUGUAGGGAGUGGCACUGAUAGAAGAGAUACAGCUGCUGCCACGGAGGCCCAACAUCUGAGUUCAGAAUCUAAAGAAAAAACAUCAGCACAAAAAUCAGGGCACCCUUUUGGAAUCUUGAAAGCAGACUUUACCAUCUCAACUCUGAUGGACCCAGAAGAGAUGAAAGACCAAUUUCUGAGACAGAUCCAGGAAGUCUUAAAGCUUACAUUAGGUCACGAACAAUUUAGACUGAAAUGGGUCAGCUUCGAAGUGAACAAAAAAUAGCACAAUUCUUGGAUAUGCAGUUUCUGUUUCAUGCAAUCUUCUCUGGAUUUUGAGUAAAUUUUAAUUUUUUAAUCCCUAGUAGAACAAGAUUAGGAAGAACUCGACAUGUGCCAAAAAGCACAGACCUACAACUAACACAAAACAAGACUACACAUGAAACCUGC